RNAcentral lists this ribosomal RNA (467 nucleotides) under uncultured bacterium. RNAcentral describes it as "partial 16S ribosomal RNA". It matches the Rfam family "Bacterial small subunit ribosomal RNA", at positions 28 to 507 of the family's 1533-position model. The record is from RNAcentral.
GACGAACGCUGGCGGCGUGCUUAACACAUGCAAGUCGAACGGAAAGGCCCUGCUUUUGUGGGGUGCUCGAGUGGCGAACGGGUGAGUAACACGUGAGUAACCUGCCCUUGACUUUGGGAUAACUUCAGGAAACUGGGGCUAAUACCGGAUAGGAGCUCCUGCUGCAAGGUGGGGGUUGGAAAGUUUCGGCGGUUGGGGAUGGACUCGCGGCUUAUCAGCUUGUUGGUGGGGUAGUGGCUUACCAAGGCUUUGACGGGUAGCCGGCCUGAGAGGUGACCGGCCACAUUGGGACUGAGAUACGGCCCAGACUCCUACGGGAGGCAGCAGUGGGGAAUAUUGCACAAUGGGCGGAAGCCUGAUGCAGCAACGCCGCGUGCGGGAUGACGGCCUUCGGGUUGUAAACCGCUUUCGCCUGUGACGAAGCGUGAGUGACGGUAAUGGGUAAAGAAGCACCGGCUAACUACGUG